Long non-coding RNA from Odocoileus virginianus texanus, 993 nucleotides. RefSeq lists it as uncharacterized. The record is from RefSeq and is a predicted model, not a curated record. NCBI's taxonomy places the organism in Eukaryota, Metazoa, Chordata, Mammalia, Artiodactyla, Cervidae.
CUUUCUGAUGGUGACCACAAUGGAGACAUCAAGUGACCAAGGAGAAAUGGAGAAUUCUACGGAGUCCGUUAAACAGAAGCCUCAGGGAUCUGGCAGUGUCUACACUCAAGCUGCAAGACGGUGAGCAGGAGGAGAGCACGGUGGACCCUUGUUUACAAGCUGGCUGAGUGGUGUACACUGACUAGGAAAGAGCAAACGUGUUCCCGCUGGCACCUACAAGAGACCACUCUUCAUAUUCCAAAUGGAUUGCAGACAGAUGGAAUUCAGUGGCACAGAGGUCGGGGGAGCAACAACGUGUUUGCCUUUCUGGAGCCCCUGCUGCUUUGUGUGUACCUCUGAGUGGCUGACUGCCAAUCCAGUUAACUGGCCAAAUGGAGAUCAAUUGGAUCUUCUUCACUGAAAAUGGUUUCUGGCUUAAAAAAAAAACCACCACCGCCAUCAUCUGUGGAAGAACAUUUUAGCACAUGACGUAUGAGCGUUCCAGGGGCUCUGCUGACUUGAACAGGGACAGCUGGACUUCAGAAUGGAAAUACUCCGAGUUAAGAAGUCAUCCCAAUGUAGAAAUGGGAAAGAAGUCCGCGCCAAAAAGAAUUCUUUCGUUAAACAGGAAUACAGAAUUAUACAAUUUUCAACAGUUACAAAACAAAACUAUCUUAAUGUUUAUAUUAAAGUCUUGUUUAAGUAUGCCAACUUUGAAACUAUUCUGAAACUGGUAUGUUUAUGCUGUAUUUUUGGAAAAAGAAGUCUAUACAGUCAUUAAAAUUAGUAAUUUCAAGGUUGCAUAUCUCAAGCAAGGAUACUCACUGGAACUUUCCCACAUGAAGCCUAAAUUUGGAGUAGUGUAAUCACCCCCUCAGAAGUACAGUGUGAACAAGAUAGGGCAAUGACCAUCCACAGGAGGAUGGUGGGAAUGGAGCCAAGAGCACCCGCCGGGAUGAGGAAGAGACCGAAGUCCCAAAUGCUGGUCUGAGCACAGCCCAGAGCCAAGCGCAC